Long non-coding RNA from Pangasianodon hypophthalmus (striped catfish), 1721 nucleotides. RefSeq lists it as uncharacterized. Lineage: Eukaryota; Metazoa; Chordata; Actinopteri; Siluriformes; Pangasiidae. The transcript is spliced from 2 exons. The record is from RefSeq and is a predicted model, not a curated record.
UUUCCGGAAGUCCACCACGCACAACCGGAAAUAAAAAAAAAUUAGAGGAAAAAAAAUUAAACGCGUUACGUAAUUAAUUACAUAAUUAAACAUUGCGAAGUUAUUAUCUAUUUAUUAAGGAUUAGAUUCCUAUUAUUUUUAUCGAUGUCUGAUUUACAAGCGAAAAAAUAUAUAUUUGGAAAGAUUUGUUUAUGGUAACGCGCACGCGAGAGAAGAGAGUGAACUGGACAUCAACCUUUUUCUCAGCGGUUGCCAGAUUUGUGCAAAAACAGCACCUGUGUAACAAAAACACCUCACUAACGCAAUACACCUCUAAGAAGAACAACAAGAAGAAGAAAAACACAUUAAUAAGAUCAGUCAAUAAUGAUGUUAUACAAUACUUUAAUUUUCCGACAUUUUUACUUUUUGCUACUUACAAAAACAUAGAAGCCAAUAGACUCCAUUUCUAAACUAUAUCAGUGUCUUGGUGAAAGGAGGAAAGAUUGCCUUAUGUAUGAUUUGUCUUUCAUAUUUUUCUCCAUUUUCCUUCCAUAGCUUCCUCUCCUCUUAUACUGCCACAAAUUCUCAGUCAGACUGAGGUUUGGCCUUUGACUGCACUAUUCGAACACAUUCAGACUCCUGGUUUUGACCCACUCCAGUGUACUUUCACAGCACGUUUAGGCUCAUUGUCCUGUUGAAAGGCGAACCUCUGGGUGUAAAAUAUUUUUUUAUAGGUUUGCCCCAUUUUUUUCCCACCCAUCCUGCCCUUUCACCAGUUGCUCAGUUCCGUCUGAUGAAGAGCAUCCCUACAACAUGAUGCUACCGCCACCAUGCUUCACUGUCGGCAUGGUGUUUUCAGGGUGAUGUGAAGUGUUGGGGUUCCAACAAACGCACAGCUUUGUGCCAAGGCCAAGAAGGCACAUUUUGGUCUCAUCAGACACUUCUUCAUAGUGUGUGUGCUUUGUCCAGUCGCGAGCAUUGGGACUUUUAUUUUGAAGAGAAUACGAGUACUUUUAUGAUCGCUGUAGGAGUUUGCAGACGUUGUUCGUCUUGUGGAUAGCUCACCAUCCAGUGUUUAGUGAGGACGGUUCAUGCAAUGCCAGUCGUUUAGGCACUACAGCUCAUCUGGGGACUUUAUUCAUGAUUCAUUGCAUUACACAGCAACUGAACAAUGCUGGCCACGUGGAGGAGAUGACCACGUGGUUGGAUUAAUAACUUUCUCUUGAUGACUUUGUUUGCUGAAACAGACUGAAAAGUGACUGACCCAAUGAUUAGACUCACUACCCAUCUGACCCUGUUUAUGGGAAGGAUUAUUUACUCUAGUAUGAGGGUCCAGUCUAUAAAAUCACCUCAGUGUGUUUUUGUGAUAACCAGAGCCUGAAGUUUUCAUCCCACAUAUAACCUGUUCUCUUUUUUGUUUUUUGUAUUUUUUUUUUUUAGGAGGAAUCUGAUGAAGACAAACAAGCCUUGGGAUUUUCAGGCAUCAACAGACAUUCGGGCAUUUCAAAUGUUAUUGUGUGGCAGUUUAACUAAUUAAAAUACUUUUUGGGGGGAUAUGUGUGUAUAUAUUUGUUAGACAGGGUGUGUUAUCUGCAUCACAUGAAAAUAUGACUUGCAAAAGUAACUUUUAAAAGUAAAAAGUUUACUUUCAAAAGUAAAAUUUAACUUCUUUUAAUGUUUAAAUCUUAUUAAAAAUGGAUCUGUGUCAAGUGAAAUAAAAAUUGGAAGUUUCCACAACUGAG